Molecule: ribosomal RNA, 491 nt
Filed under: uncultured bacterium
Lineage: Bacteria
Description: bacterial SSU rRNA
Rfam family: Bacterial small subunit ribosomal RNA
Source: RNAcentral
AGUGAACGCUGGCGGCAGGCCUAAUACAUGCAAGUCGAACGGCAGCACAGCAGAGCUUGCUCUGUGGGUGGCGAGUGGCGGACGGGUGAGGAAUACAUGGGAAUCUGCCCAGUCGUGGGGGAUAACGUAUGGAAACGUACGCUAAUACCGCAUGCGCCCUACGGGGGAAAGCCGGGGACCGCAAGGCCUGGCGCGAUUGGAUGAGCCCAUGUUCGAUUAGCUAGUUGGCGGGGUAAAGGCCCACCAAGGCGACGAUCGAUAGCUGGUCUGAGAGGAUGAUCAGCCACACUGGAACUGAGACACGGUCCAGACUCCUACGGGAGGCAGCAGUAGGGAAUAUUGGACAAUGGGGCAACCCUGAUCCAGCCAUGCCGCGUGAGUGAAGAAGGCCCUCGGGUUGUAAAGCUCUUUUGUCCGGAAGAAAGCAAUCGGUUAAUACCCGGUUGUUCUGACGGUACCGGAGAAUAAGCACGGCUAACUUCGUGCCAGCA